UCCCACCAACUGGGCUACUUUAAGUUUUUAAUGUUAAUGAAUAUUUCUGCUCUAAAUAUCUUUGGGCACACUAAUUUUUCCCCCCGGGGUCAUUGUUGUGGGAUAUUUUCUAAAAAGUGUAGUACUGACAAAGAAUAGGAACACUUUCAGAGCUGACAUUAGGGAGUGCCAGAGCAGCACACAGAAAUUUCAGGUUCACCUGAGAUGCAGCUCCUGAUACGCUGAGCUGUGGGGUUGUUAUGAAAGCAAAUGAAGGUUUACAUAACCUUAUUCCCUCAGCUUCUGUUUCUGAUAAAACUGCAUUAUAAAGUAUGGUACAAGUAUCUUUCAAAGUAUUUACCUCAGGACCACGAACAGCCAGAAAGGUUAGCCGGUGGAAGCAAGCCUCUCAGAAAAUGUUUCUGUACCUGAACAGAGACUGACUAAAUCUUCCUUAACUGAAAUAAAUCUCCAGAUGACCUAGGGAGCUGGCAAACUGGGGCCCAGGGCCACUUGUUUUUGUAAGUUUUAUUGGAAUGUACACAAACAAACAAAAAAAAAACCAUUGCUGUAGAGUCGACUCCGACUCAAAACAACGAUAUAGCUACCCUAUAAGACAGAGUAGAAUUGCCCCAUAAGGUUUCCAAAAAGCGCCUUGUGGAUUCAAACUGCUGACCUUUCGGUUAGCAGCCAUAGCUCUUAACCACCACACCUCCAGAGUUUCAAUUUAUGUAUUGUCUACGGUUGCUUCCUGCUGUAACUGCAGAGUUGAAUAGUUGCAACAGAGACCACAUGACUUGCAAAAAAAAACAGAACAAAGCAAAACAAGUUGUGUUUAAGUUGAUUCCAGCUUGCGGCAACCCUAUGUGUUGCAGAGUAGAACUGCACUCCAUAGGGUUUUCAAAGCUAUGAUCUUCCAGAAGGAGACUGCUAGGCUUUUUUUCCUAGCCAACUAUGGGCUCUGAAGAGGCAGUGGUUCAGGACGUAGACCGAGCCUCCCAAGAUCUUCCAACUAGAACGUGCUGUCUCUUUGUAAACGAUUCUGAGGGAGAAUGGUUGAGUUUCCUCCAGGAAGAAAGAUGCCCUGGAAUCCUGGAGGAACUACACCCAUAUGUUCAUGAAGAAGUGGACUCCAGCAGUGUUGUGAGUGGACUGUGGUGGACAUGGAACUCUGUCAGCUGGAUUCUCCUACAUUGUCCAGCUGCUGGUGUGCUGUGAGCAGAUGGCUUUCAGCUUUCAGACCCUUUAGGGACUGUCUCAGCAGCACGGUCACCUCAUCCAAGGUCAUGCCUUUGUGGAGUCGGCCUACAUCAACUGACUGGUUAAAAUAAACCAAACCUAUUGCUGUCUGAUCGGUACCAACUCAUAGCGACCCUAUAGGGUAGAGUAGAACUGUCCCAUAGGGUUUCCAAGGAGUGGCUGGUGGAUUCAAACUGCCAGCCUUUUGGUUAGCAGCCUCAUGCUUAACUGUUGUGUCACCAGGGCUCCGCCACUGCGGGUAGAAGUGGAGAUAUAAAGACCCAGCCAUGUUAACUCAAAGCAGGACUGGAUUGAUGAGCCAUUUCAGCUCCAGUAAUGAUCAUCUAAAUUAUGGUUAAAUAGACAAUCUAGAUGACUUGAAUGCAAAUUUAUUUAAAUAUUCCACUAUAAUUUGACAUUAGGAUGUUAUUACUUUUUCACCACUAUAAAUAAUUCUGUGUUGACAUCUUAUGCAUGCAGUUUUUCUCUUUAUAAAGAAUAUUUACAUAGGGUAAAGUCCCAUGAGCAGUAUUGCUAAGUCAAAGCGCAUGUGUGUUUUUAUACUUCUCUGACCUCUAUUGCCUAAACGCGUUUCAAAAGAGUCAUACAGAUUUGCUGUGGCACACACGAAAAUACAUGCUUCAGUGCAGCUGACACUUGGUAAACAUUUCCAGCUCAGUCAUUUGUGGACUCUUACAAGUUUGGCCCAGUUUUUCUUGGCGCGAAGAGAAUUUGUUCAGCCAAUUUUGAAACUUUGUGUUGAUGAAAUCUGAAAAAAAUUGUCCAAGUUUGAACGACAGAGAUGAGAUAUACGGUAAUUUUAUCGGCUUUCUCUAAUGGAAGCUACUGGUAACUUGAUAAAGCAAUUCCCCACUAACUAACAUUAUAAUUUACAAAUCUCCUUUGCAGACUUUUUGGACCUUUUUCUCUCUUUGGAAGAUUUGCUUUAUAUGACUAGACACUGAAAUACGUGUAAGGCUUUGAGAAACAGAAAAGCUGCCCUUGACAUAGGAGCUUGUCUCAGCAUUCACAGCCAGGUGUGGGUGUCCUCCUGCUGAAUACAAACAAUCUCCCCAAACACUGACAUCAGACAAGUCACUCUGUGACCAUGAUAGAUCCAGACAAAAACAAAACCACCAAGUCAGAACACAGACAAAAUUAUGAACAGUGUUUAAACCACAAAAAUGAUCAAAUAUCCACCUAUCCUGGCUAUUACAAGUGACAGCUGCUUCUUUAUUAAUUAAACCUUUAGCCUCACUCUAGCCUUCCCUCCUAGAUAAGAUUGAUUAUGAUACCCAGUCAUGGAAUUACCUUGCUCACCGACAGCGCCCAACCCAGAGCAAAGCUUCGCUUCCUUGAAUUCCCUCCAAAAUCAACAAACACAAGCCCAAAUUCUAUUAAUAUGGUCUUUCCAAUGUCCUCUCAGCAAGACUCCUCCUCAUGGUGUUCGGUGUCUCUUGCUGCCAUGAGCAAUAGCUGCUUGUUCAGUUAUGAACAGCAUGUGUUCCUGGUGGGGGACAAUAUCUUUAACUUGUCUAUUAGUAAUUCCAAAUCAAAUGACAUAUUGCAUUGGGCAAAUCUGCUGCAAAAGAUCUCUUUCCAGGGUUGAAAAGCAAAGAUGUCACUUUGAGACCUAAGGUGUGCUGACGCAGGCCAUGGUGUUUUCAAUUGCCUCAUAGGCAUGCGAAAGCUGCACAAUGAAUAAGGGAGAUCAAAGAAGAAUUGAUGUUUUGAGUUAUGGGGUUGGAGAUUUAUAGGGUAACUAUGAGUCAGAAUCAACUCAAUGGCAAAGGGUUUGUUUGUUUGGUUUUGGUUUUCAUAGUAUACAUAUAUAAACCUAUUGUCGUCAAGUCAAUUCGACACAUAGCAACCCUAUAGGACAGAGUAGAACUGCCCCAUGGGGUUUCUGAGGAGUGGCUGGUGGAUUCGAACUGCCAGCCUUUGGUUAGCAACAAAGCUCUUAACCACUGCACCACCAGGGCUCCAUAUAUAUGGCAGGGGAUCAGAUUCAACAUGCAGAAGUCAAAUUCUGCAACCUCCUAUAAGCAAGACCACGGGAGACUGAGUCAUGCUGCUGUAGGGUAGCAUUCUUUGAACUUCUGAGUAACUUCAGGGUGGAAAUGGCUUUGAAAAAGAGAAGAAACAAUCAAUCUGGUCACAUUUUAUUUCUCAACAUAAUUUCCUGUUCUUAGUUUAAACGAUGCGUAUGACAUUAUUUCCACCAAAUUCUCAGAACAGGAAGCUUAGGUUCCUUGAGUUUUACAUAAAUUAUAUUUCAUAUGGUUGUACAAGUUGAUGAACAGCAAUAUGAUUAACUCAGUGUGAAUGCCUUUCUUCAUAUUAACCUGUCAUGAGGAAUUUUAAGUUACGACAUCUAGCUGAGCUGCAGAACAAUUAUCUGACUACUGCUUUGAUCUGGAGACAAUUCUGUGUAUUUUAUCUUCAGGAAGAUGUUCACAGUGAAGUCCUUCUCAAAAUUACAGCUGUUAGAAUGUAAAUUCUUCUCUCUGAAAUUAUUACAAGUACAACAAAUUAUACAGUGUUGGUAUCCAUCUAUCAGUGAAGAACUUUCGGUCACAGGGUAACAGAAGACCCAACUCAAUGUGGCUUAAACAAUAAUGUGGAAUAAGGGGCUCAUAUAUCUGAAAACCAAAGGAAGAUGUGUUUUGGUCAAGGUCUUGGUUCUAUCUCUUCAUUCUGACUUUAUUCUUAGCCAGGCUAGGACCGUAUGGUCUCAAAGAUAGCUGUCCGCAGCAACUGGAGUUACAUGCUUCUUUGUCCAUUUCCAGGGGAGAAGUGUCAUUUCUCAUAAUUAUCAAAUGACAUUUUCUCAGCUUCUCUCUGAUGAAACCAAGGUGAACUGGUCAUUGUUGAAAGGGGUGUGAGAGUAUACUGACUAACCAUCUGGAGUUGAGGUGGGUCAGCCUACACAAACAUCAUGGCUAUUACAUCGUUACUACAUGUUGGCUAAGGAGGAGGGACAAGGUAUUUCCUUGAAGGAAAAUCAAAGUUCUGUUAGGGAAACAGAAGAAACAGACACUGUGCCCACCAUCCUGUCCAUGACAUUCCACUUUAACUUCAUCCCUACAGGAAGUGAUACUCUAUCUUACUUAUAGGUGGCAGUAUUGAGUUUAAAAUACAGGGCCUAGAGUUAGGGUACUGCCGUUCAAAUCUUUGUUCCACCAGUUACUAGCCACUUGGUUUUACGUAAGUCAGUUAACCUCUCUCUGCUGCAACAUCUUCAUUGUAAAAUGACAUUAGUAGAAUCUCCCUUGAAAAGCUGCAAUGAAGAUUCAGUGGACUAAUGCAUAUGAAGCACUCAGCAUAGACCAUGUCACUUUGCCAAUGAAGUAGCCAUUUGACGAAGUCUAUAAAGUUUUUUUUUUUUUUAUAAAGCAUCACUUUUAUCUGCUUGGCAUCUGCCUGUUGUCCAGUGUGUUCUGGAGACUCCUUUUCCCAUUCUCAGGUCAUAUAUGUCAGUUACUGGAAUUUGUUUCAGGUAGACCCAGUGCUUUGACUCAGAGACUGGAGGAUGGCCUGUACCAUAGAAGAGGCAUGUUGUGAUAUACUGUGGCAUAAAUGUCCAAAAAAGAAGUCCCAGUGUUCCUGAUGGGGUGUUUCCUCCACAGUGUGAAUUAUCGUUCUUAAAUGUUUGAGAACAGGGUACACCAACAUCUGACUGCGUGUCUAUAUGCUCCUGUUGGUAAAAUCACCACACAAGGCCUGCUAAACCCGUACAGAAGAGUAGCAUUUUGAUUAUUCCCUGUUUACUUCCUUUAGCUCUGGUAUUUGAAAAGCUGAAUAUACUGUGCUCACACAGCAAUAAUCGGGUGGUUUUCUUUUGACUGGUAACCCUUUUAUUUCAUUUUAACAAACCUCACUCCGCAAAAGGCUUGGAAGUAAGGUGUGGAAAGGGGAAGUGGGGAGAAAGGAGGUGAAGUAACCCUAGUUGCUUGUAUUAGAAUUCACCCUGUGGAGGCUAAGGAGUCCCUGGGUGGUGCAAACUGUUAUUGCGCUAGGAUGCGAACGGAAAGGUCGGAGGUUUGAGCCCGCUCAGAGGCGUGGUGCUCUACUUCCAAAAAAUCAGCCGUUGAAAACCCUAUGGAUUGAAGCUCUAUUCUGACACACCCGGAGUUGCCUUGAGUCAGAGUCGGCUCAACGGCGACUGGUUGUGGUGGUCGUACAGGCUAAAAUCAGGGCUGGAACUGCACUUGUUUGGGGAAAUCUAUACAUAAACUUUGUAACUUAUAGGGUAAGUGGAUUAGAAGUGAUUGCAACAAAUAAGUUUUUGCCUUUCAAAAGGAUUUAUCUUAUAUAUUUACUGAAGUGAAAAUGUAGGUGAUUUGAAAUACAAUUUGUGUUUAUAUGGAAACAUUUGAGGCAGGAGAAAGAGCAUAAACUUGGAGACAGAGAAGACCCGGCUCCAAACUCUGACAGCACCGUUUAUCAUACGUGUGGCCUGGGUAAAUGCCUUCACAUCUCUGAGUCUCAACUUCUAAAUCUAGAAAAAAGAGAUAAUAAUGCCUCCUUUGUUGAGUUAGUGGAACAUUAGAAAUAAUGGACAAAAUUGUCUAGCACAGUGUGGAUAGACAUUAAGAGCACAGAAAAUAUUCUUAUUUUUAAAGAUACACUGCACACACGCACAUUCGUAAGAAAAGAUCUAUUAUCUAAUGCAAAGCACCCUUGGACUCAGAAUUCCAUUCCCUGUUGUUGAAGGAAGAUCCUACACCUGACCAUAAAGAUUCUGUCACCGGGUCUCAUGGCUUCAGGUCUAAAAUGGAGAAAUUCACAUACUUCCUAGUGUUACUGAGGGGAACAAAUAACCUGAAACUGCCACCAUCAGCCAAUUAAACCAGUAGUUUUCAGCCUUGGCUGAACAUUAUACUCUCCUGGAGAACUUUAAAAAAAACCUCAGUGCUCUGAAGGCACCCCAGAGCAAUGAAAUCAGAGGUUGUGGGGGUUGGACGUAGGCAGUGGUAUUGUUAAAACUCUGUAAAUGAUUUCAAGUGCAACCAAGGUAGAGAACCAUUGCUCUAAAUCAUUGUUUCUUAAGCUGUAAUGUGCACACGAAUCUUAUUAAUAUGCAUAUUAUGAUCCUCUAGAUCUGGGAUGGGGCCUGAGAAUCUGCAUUUCUAACUCCCUCCUAGGUGAUGCCAGUGCUGCUGGACUUUUGAGUUUGUUGUUCUUGUUACUUGCUGUUGAGCCAAUUCCAACUCAUUAUGACCCCACGUGUGCAGAGUAGGGCUGCUCCAUAGGGUUUUCAAUGCUCUAACUUUUUGGAAGUACGUAGAUUGCCGGGUCUGUCAUCCAAGGCAUCUCUGGGUGGGUUCAAAACCCCAAACUUUCAGCUAGAAGUCGAGGGCCACCUGGGACUCUCACUGAUUCUAAGAUGCUUACUUCCUCCUCUUUUCCCUCUACCUCCUCCCCUCAGUUCUGGGAGAAAAAAUAAAAAAACUUUUGUACAACAUGUUAUUUUUCCUAGGAGCUACGGUCUCUCCUGAGGCCACGAUCGUCUUUACUCAGGACAAUAACAUAUUAAGCCUUUCAUGAUAAGCGUUUCAAAUUGCUCCACCCUUUCUAUAGUAAUUUUGACUUAUGAGAAAAGUAUAUACCUGCUUUCAGUACAAGAUGAAUCAUAAUUUAUUAGGAAAAAUAAGUUGUUAAAGUAUUUGACGUAAUGUGGACACCUUCAGAAAGUUUUUAAAGAAGAUAAUUUAUGCAUAACCAAGAAUCAAGAGAAAUGUUUAUUCAAGCUGCGUUUGUCUAGAUAGAAAAAUAUCAAGAAUUGUUGAUGCUCCUGGCAUUUGGAUUUGAAUCCCUAAAGCAGCUUUAAACCAAACCGUCUUGUUCAGGUCAUUUGGCCAGACUUGACUGGUAAGGAUGCCACCGACUGCUUUACAGGUGACCUUGACUUAGGGACUAGGGAGCAAAAACUCCUGAACAAAUCUAAGACUUGCCUAGUGUAUGCUCGGAGGAUAUUCACUUUAGCGGUAUGCUAGGACACCCUUAUACCAACCAUCGUAAACAUGGCACCAAACAGGGCAGCAUUUUGUUCUAUUAUAAAUAGCUGAGUCGGAGCCAACUUGAUGGCAAAUAACAGGGACACUCUGGGGAGGAGACAGCCAAGAUAUUGAAUAUCCAUUUCUUGCACUUGAUCUUUGUCUUUUCUACUUUAAUUAAGCCUGCAUAGAGGAGAGAGCCAGUGACUUUUGAGUUGGGCAUAUCUGGGCUCAAAAUCUCAACCCUUCCCAUUUGCUGCCUUUGAGCCUGGGACAAGAUCAAGAUACUUUCUUUCUGCAUAAAUUUGUUUAUUUGCAUGAGCAUGUGUUUAUUACGACCUCACAUAGCUGAAAGUCCUGAGAAGGUUGGCUCUAAGAGUGGCUGAGCAGCUUGACCAGAUCAUUAAGGGCCUUCUGACUUUAUCACAUUGUCACUACCUUUUUUGAUGAUGAUAAAAGAUGGUUGUGGUUAACUCCAGGUAUCAUACCUUCACAGGAAAAUGUCUUAGUAGAAAGAGAGCAGAAAUAUAUCAUAUGUCUCUCUCUAUCUCAUCAGGGAAGAAACUCCUUCCCAGGAGCCUCCCUAGUAGACUGCCUUAUCAUUGAUCACACAUAGAUCACAUGCUAACCUCUAAGCCAAUCAUCGGCAAAAUACAAUGGGAUUAUCGUGAUGGAUUUAGAGCAAUCAUGGUUCAUCCCUGAGAGCAGAAUUUAUAGUGUCAUUGGAGAAAAUAUAAUCAAAUCAGAUUCUCUCAGCAGGGAAAAACAGGGUGGGGUAUCCGAUCGACAACUAUUAGUCUCUGUCAUGCCACUAAUGAAUGUCCUUCUUCCCUGCUCAAAUCUUUAAAUUAGAUAACUGACAUUGGCCAAUGGGGGGAACAUGUCUUGUUACCCCCAAACUGAUUUAUUUCUUUACAUGAUAAUGCCUUCAGCUUGCAUCAUGGAGAUUUUGUUCCCGGUAACAAGAGUGAUCCCUAUUCUGACAUCAUUAAAGCUUUAAAAAAAACAUUUUGCCUAACCAUUGAAAACCUUAUGAUCUCUGUCUCACUCUUCAAAAUCCAAGGAUAAGAGAAUAAAUUUGUUUAUUUAUAAGAUAGUAUCUACCAAAAAAAAAAAAAAAACCCGUUGCCAUCGAGUUGACUCUAACUCAUAGCCACCUUAUGGGACAGAGUAGAACUGUUCCAUAGAGUUUCCAAGGAGCACCUGGUGGAUGUGAACUGCUGACUUCUUGGUUAGCAGCCAUAGCUCUUAACCACUAUGCCACCAGGGUUUCCUAGAAAGCAUCUAAUUUAACAUCAAAUUAAGUCUCCUUCAGAUUGCAAAGAGGACAAAUUUUGUUCGUCUUCUAUUAAAACGUACUUCCAUUAAGAUUACAUCAAGAAAAUCCUAUAAGGCAGUCACAAACAGGGUCACCAUGAGUUGGAAUCAACUUAAC
This is a long non-coding RNA of Loxodonta africana (African savanna elephant), 8652 nucleotides long. RefSeq lists it as uncharacterized. The record is from RefSeq and is a predicted model, not a curated record. Lineage: Eukaryota; Metazoa; Chordata; Mammalia; Proboscidea; Elephantidae. The transcript is spliced from 3 exons.